RNAcentral lists this ribosomal RNA (391 nucleotides) under Gerres cinereus (yellow fin mojarra). RNAcentral describes it as "partial 16S ribosomal RNA". It matches the Rfam family "Bacterial large subunit ribosomal RNA", at positions 1962 to 2502 of the family's 2925-position model. The record is from RNAcentral. Lineage: Eukaryota; Metazoa; Chordata; Actinopteri; Gerreiformes; Gerreidae.
CAAUCACUUGUCUUUUAAAUGAAGACCUGUAUGAAUGGCACGACGAGGGCUUGACUGUCUCCUUUUUCCAGUCAGUGAAAUUGAUCCCCCCGUGCAGAAGCGGGGAUUUAAACAUAAGACGAGAAGACCCUAUGGAGCUUUAGACUCUUCGAGCAGACUAUGUUAAACACUCUUUAACAAAAGACUAAACAGUAUAGGCCCUACUCUAAUGUCUUUGGUUGGGGCGACCCUGGGGAAAAACAAAACCCCCAUGAAGACAGGAAGAACUUUCUCCCACAAACAAGAGCUACGGCUCUAGUUAACAGAACCUCUGACUUACAUGAUCCGGCCUACGCCGAUCAACGGACCGAGUUACCCUAGGGAUAACAGCGCAAUCCUCUUUUAGAGCUCA